This 465-nucleotide ribosomal RNA is filed under the name uncultured bacterium. Its description in RNAcentral is "partial 16S ribosomal RNA". It matches the Rfam family "Bacterial small subunit ribosomal RNA", at positions 338 to 795 of the family's 1533-position model. The record is from RNAcentral.
CCUACGUGAGGCAGCAGUAGGGAAUCUUCCACAAUGGGCGAAAGCCUGAUGGAGCAACGCCGCGUGGGUGAAGAAGGUCUUCGGAUCGUAAAACCCUGUUGUUAGAGAAGAAAGUGCGUGAGAGUAACUGUUCACGUAUCGACGGUAUCUAAACAGAAAGCCACGGCUAACUACGUGCCAGCAGCCGCGGUAAUAAGUAGGUGGGAAGCGUUAUCCGGAUUUAUUGGGCGUAAAGGGAUCGAAGGCGGUCGUUUAAGUCUGAUGUGAAAGCCUUCGGCUUAACCGGAGUAGUGCAUUGGAGACUGGGAGACUUGAGUGCAGAAGAGGAGAGUGGAACGCCAUGUGUAGCGGUGAAAUGCGUAGAUAUAUGGAAGAACACCAGUGGCGAAAGCGGCUCUCUGGUCUGUAACUGACGCUGAGGUUCGAAAGCGUGGGUAGCAAACAGGAUUAGAUACCCCUGUAGUC